CCUACGGGGGACAGCAGUGAGGAAUAUUGGUCAAUGGACGCAAGUCUGAACCAGCCAUGCCGCGUGCAGGAAGACGGCUCUAUGAGUUGUAAACUGCUUUUGUACGAGGGUAAACGCAGAUACGCGUAUCUGUCUGAAAGUAUCGUACGAAUAAGGAUCGGCUAACUCCGUGCCAGCAGCCGCGGUAAUACGGAGGAUUCAAGCGUUAUCCGGAUUUAUUGGGUUUAAAGGGUGCGUAGGCGGUCGGAUAAGUUAGAGGUGAAAUCCCGAGGCUCAACUUCGGAAUUGCCUCUGAUACUGGUAGGCUAGAGAGUAGGUGAGGUAGGCGGAAUGUAUGGUGUAGCGGUGAAAUGCAUAGAGAUCAUACAGAACACCGAUUGCGAAGGCAGCUUACCAAGCUACUUCUGACGUUGAGGCACGAAAGCGUGGGGAGCAAACAGGAUUAGAUACCCCAGUAGUC
RNAcentral lists this ribosomal RNA (460 nucleotides) under uncultured bacterium. RNAcentral's name for it is "partial 16S ribosomal RNA". It matches the Rfam family "Bacterial small subunit ribosomal RNA", at positions 338 to 795 of the family's 1533-position model. The record is from RNAcentral.